AGAGUUUGAUCAUGGCUCAGGACGAACGCUGGCGGCGCGCCUAACACAUGCAAGUCGAACGGAGCUUAGAGAGCUUGCUUUUUAAGCUUAGUGGCGAACGGGUGAGUAACGCGUGAGUAACCUGCCCUAGAGUGGGGACAACAGUUGGAAACGACUGCUAAUACCGCAUAAGCCCACGGUACCGCAUGGUACUGAGGGAAAAGGAUUUAUUCGCUUUAGGAUGGACUCGCGUCCAAUUAGCUAGUUGGUGAGGUAACGGCCACCAAGGCGACGAUUGGUAGCCGGACUGAGAGGUUGAACGGCCACAUUGGGACUGAGACACGGCCCAGACUCCUACGGAGGCA
RNAcentral lists this ribosomal RNA (344 nucleotides) under uncultured bacterium. RNAcentral's name for it is "bacterial SSU rRNA". It matches the Rfam family "Bacterial small subunit ribosomal RNA", at positions 8 to 350 of the family's 1533-position model. The record is from RNAcentral.